This 243-nucleotide ribosomal RNA is filed under the name Triticum aestivum (bread wheat). RNAcentral describes it as "partial small subunit ribosomal RNA". Lineage: Eukaryota; Viridiplantae; Streptophyta; Magnoliopsida; Poales; Poaceae. The record is from RNAcentral.
AUGCCAUUUAGAUUGUUUUUAGUUUUUGCACAUUUCCUCAUAAAUUUUUGCCAAGAGCUCACCGACAUCGACGGCUUUGGUGCUGGAGGCAUUUUUCUCUGCCGUUUCACCGGCACACCAACUUUCGGCGCUUUUUUUGGCUGCUUCCCUAGCGCGCUAGCCUGCGACGACACAUUUGAGGUGCACAAAGCAGCUAAGAUUGCCAGGACGACAAAGAGCUUGAGCAGUUUCAUGUUGGCUUAG